UACGUAGGGUGCGAGCGUUGUUCGGAAUUACUGGGCGUAAAGGGCUCGUAGGCGGCCAACUAAGUCGGAUGUGAAAUCCCCAGGCUUAACCUGGGAACUGCAUCCGAUACUGGAUGGCUUGAAUCCGGGAGAGGGAUGCGGAAUUCCAGGUGUAGCGGUGAAAUGUGUAGAUAUCUGGAGGAACACCGGUGGCGAAGGCGGCAUCCUGGACCGGCAUUGACGCUGAGGCGCGAAAGCUAGGGGAGCAAACGGG
This 253-nucleotide ribosomal RNA is filed under the name uncultured bacterium. RNAcentral describes it as "partial 16S ribosomal RNA". It matches the Rfam family "Bacterial small subunit ribosomal RNA", at positions 524 to 776 of the family's 1533-position model. The record is from RNAcentral.